Molecule: small nucleolar RNA, 138 nt
Organism: Ornithorhynchus anatinus (platypus)
Lineage: Eukaryota; Metazoa; Chordata; Mammalia; Monotremata; Ornithorhynchidae
Source: RefSeq, a predicted model, not a curated record
AACCUCUCAGGGUGGCAGCUGGAGAGUUUCCAGUACUCUACCAGUCUCGACUACGGAAGGGACAGUCAAGCGGAGGCAAAGUCAUUCCAUUCCUAGCUUAGCCAGUGGCUAGCGAGUGGAAGGCCAUCUGCUACAAGG